GCAUAUCAAUAAGCGGAGGAAAAGAAACCAACAGGGAUUGCCCUAGUAACGGCGAGUGAAGCGGCAACAGCUCAAAUUUGAAAUCUGGCUUUCGGGCCCGAGUUGUAAUUUGUAGAGGAUACUUUUGAUGCGGUGCCUUCCGAGUUCCCUGGAACGGGACGCCAUAGAGGGUGAGAGCCCCGUCUGGUUGGAUGCCAAAUCUCUGUAAAGUUCCUUCGACGAGUCGAGUAGUUUGGGAAUGCUGCUCUAAAUGGGAGGUAUAUGUCUUCUAAAGCUAAAUAUUGGCCAGAGACCGAUAGCGCACAAGUAGAGUGAUCGAAAGAUGAAAAGCACUUUGAAAAGAGAGUUAAAAAGUACGUGAAAUUGUUGAAAGGGAAGCGUUUAUGACCAGACUUGGACUUGGUUAAUCAUCUGGGGUUCUCCCCAGUGCACUUUUCCAGUUCAGGCCAGCAUCAGUUUUCGCCGGGGGAUAAAGGCUUCGGGAAUGUAGCUCUCUUCGGGGAGUGUUAUAGCCCGUUGUGUAAUACCCUGGCGGAGACUGAGGUUCGCGCUUCUGCAAGGAUGCUGGCGUAAUGGUCAUCAACGACCCGUCUUGAAACACGGACC
Molecule: ribosomal RNA, 606 nt
Filed under: Fusarium sp. K5225-2-1
Lineage: Eukaryota; Fungi; Ascomycota; Sordariomycetes; Hypocreales; Nectriaceae
Description: eukaryotic LSU rRNA
Rfam family: Eukaryotic large subunit ribosomal RNA
Source: RNAcentral